RNAcentral lists this transfer RNA (74 nucleotides) under Kapaibacterium sp. (SeqCode). RNAcentral's name for it is "tRNA-Arg". It matches the Rfam family "tRNA". From Rfam's summary of the family: Transfer RNA (tRNA) molecules are approximately 80 nucleotides in length. Their secondary structure includes four short double-helical elements and three loops (D, anti-codon, and T loops). The record is from RNAcentral. Lineage: Bacteria; Pseudomonadati; Bacteroidota; Eximiradiia; Eximiradiales; Kapaibacteriaceae (SeqCode).
GUCCCCGUAGUUCAGUUGGAUAGAACAACAGUUUCCUAAACUGUGUGUCGGAGGUUCAAGUCCUCUCGGGGGCA